This 166-nucleotide ribosomal RNA is filed under the name uncultured bacterium. Its description in RNAcentral is "partial 16S rRNA". It matches the Rfam family "Bacterial small subunit ribosomal RNA", at positions 355 to 511 of the family's 1533-position model. The record is from RNAcentral.
UAGGGAAUUCUUCGGCAAUGGACGAAAGUCUGACCGAGCAACGCCGCGUGAGUGAAGAAGGUUUUCGGAUCGUAAAACUCUGUUGGUAGAGAAGAACGUUGGUGAGAGUGGAAAGCUCAUCAAGUGACGGUAACUACCCAGAAAGGGACGGCUAACUACGUGCCAG